UGAUCAAGGCGCUGCUGGAAGUGGUCCAGUCAGGUGGCAAAAACAUUGAACUUGCUGUCAUGAGGCGGGAUCAGCCCCUCAAGAAAGAAAUCCUGUUCAGUUUACUGGUUAAGGAUGCUACUGGCAUGUAUACCACCUAACACAUACAUUCUUAUCAGUGGUCCCAAGACUGACAGGCUCCUCCACCAGCCUGAUGACCAUGUGUCUGCUCUACUAGACUGGAGUGUUCAUCCCAGCAACAUAGCCUGGCGAGAGCCACCCAACUCGACUACUUGUCUGGCCCACCACGUUGUUCUCUGUAAGCACCUGACUCCUAGCCUGCAGGUGCUCCAGGCCUGACGAGUGCCUGUUUCUGACAGGCACGACACAGUGACUGACGGAGGCAGCACUUGAAGAGUUGAAUGUUUAUUUAGUUUGCAUUACCCCAACAGUAGCCCCAAUGCUAUGUUCUACUCUCAGCUAUGAAGUCCUACAAAAAUAAAGCCAGGCUUUUAUGUGACUUCAUCAAUACAGAACUAAAGCUUUGUUGCUAUUUUGAAGGGGUUUUGGUUAUCAAGGUGCUUAUUUUCAACAAAAUGUCCUGUCAGAGGAUGCAUGCUUAUACAGAAAACCUGACACUCUCAUGCAACAAAUUUAUGUCCCCACCCUCCCUCCACCACCUUUAAAAUAAACACUAACUAUUUACAAUUGAGGAAAAAGGCCAGUGACCUUGAAAAGGGAAAAAAAAAAAAAAAAAAAAAAAAGACUGGCUCAUUUCAAAGUGAAUGAGAACACUUAAGUGCAGCCAGAAGCUGACAAGGACAGGAAGGUCGG
This 813-nucleotide long non-coding RNA is filed under the name Rattus norvegicus (Norway rat). RNAcentral describes it as "long non-coding RNA NONRATT019006". Lineage: Eukaryota; Metazoa; Chordata; Mammalia; Rodentia; Muridae. The record is from RNAcentral.